RNAcentral lists this ribosomal RNA (253 nucleotides) under uncultured bacterium. Its description in RNAcentral is "partial 16S ribosomal RNA". It matches the Rfam family "Bacterial small subunit ribosomal RNA", at positions 524 to 776 of the family's 1533-position model. The record is from RNAcentral.
UACGAAGGGGGCUAGCGUUGCUCGGAAUCACUGGGCGUAAAGCGCACGUAGGCGGCUUUUUAAGUCAGGGGUGAAAUCCUGGAGCUCAACUCCAGAACUGCCUUUGAUACUGAGAAGCUCGAGUCCGGGAGAGGUGAGUGGAACUGCGAGUGUAGAGGUGAAAUUCGUAGAUAUUCGCAAGAACACCAGUGGCGAAGGCGGCUCACUGGCCCGGUACUGACGCUGAGGCACGAAAGCGUGGGGAGCAAACAGG